This 432-nucleotide long non-coding RNA is filed under the name Rattus norvegicus (Norway rat). Its description in RNAcentral is "long non-coding RNA NONRATT026663". The record is from RNAcentral. Lineage: Eukaryota; Metazoa; Chordata; Mammalia; Rodentia; Muridae.
CGGCACAUUUCCCAGCCUAGCCCUUACAUGUAGGACUUAUGGCGCCAAUUGGCACCAAGUACAUGGAGGAACCUCAAGGCCUAGGCAGACCAAGACUGGUCAUUCACAACCAUCCAAGCCGGCCCAAACGGAGACCCCAGAUAUGGUGGAGCAAAGAGCAGAACCUCAGAAGUAUGGACUCAGCACCAUGAGGGCCAUGGUGAGAACUGGGAUGUCUGAGUGAAGAUGCUGCCUCUCUCACUUUUGAGGAUAGGGAGGCCAGUUCUCUCUCCACGGAACGGAGCCAAGGACUCUGCAGCUGCUCUAUGAUUGUGUGGAGACUGGAUGGUCAACUCACUCUUUGGAGAAGACUCAAAGAAGAGAGCACUUUUCUCACUUCAGCCAGGCAUCAGUUUCUGGCUACUCCAUACAUUAAAAGGUGACGUUAACAUG